Molecule: transfer RNA, 67 nt
Filed under: human gut metagenome
Rfam family: tRNA
About the family: Transfer RNA (tRNA) molecules are approximately 80 nucleotides in length. Their secondary structure includes four short double-helical elements and three loops (D, anti-codon, and T loops). Further hydrogen bonds mediate the characteristic L-shaped molecular structure. tRNAs have two regions of fundamental functional importance: the anti-codon, which is responsible for specific mRNA codon recognition, and the 3' end, to which the tRNAs corresponding amino acid is attached (by aminoacyl-tRNA synthetases). tRNAs cope with the degeneracy of the genetic code in two manners: having more than one tRNA (with a specific anti-codon) for a particular amino acid; and 'wobble' base-pairing, i.e. permitting non-standard base-pairing at the 3rd anti-codon position.
Source: RNAcentral
UGGUGUGGCUCAGUCGGUAGAGCAGCUGAUUCGUAAUCAGCAGGUCGCAGGUUCAAGUCCCGUCACC